CGAAGCACCGGAGCAGAGAAAGGUGAAGCUUACUUUGGCGCAAGUAGCGGCAUGGGAACAAAGCGUAAAGGACAAUCCACCCAAGCGCGUUAUAUGAAACGGCGCCAUCAUUGUGAUCCUGACCCUGCUGUUUAUCCUGGCGGUCUUCAUGGACCCAGGAAGACCGACGAAGGCGGCGGUCCAGUGUCGGCAAUCGCUACGCUGGCUUACUUGCUCGCGGUAUUUGCGCUCCUGGGAAAUAAAGCUUGCAAGCGAGAGAAUCUUUACGUAGAGUUUAGACGGUCAGAGAAACCAAAAAGAGAAAGGCAGAAAGUGAAAUCAAAAUCAAUGUCAGCGUUCAUAAAAGAGAACCGUGCGGAGCUGGAUCAAUGUAUCGCCCGCGCGCUAAAGAUGGAUCGCAAUCCCGCGCGAAUGACCAGGAACGUAGGCUAUGGGUCUUAAACGAUGAGAGCCUUUACAAUUGGGCGCGUUCCGAAGGCGUGAAGUGUUAGGCAAAUCAGAAACGAAAAGAGAAAGGCAAAUUAAAUGAAAUUAAAUCCCAUCGGCUCAAAUCAGACUGAAAUUGAAAAGGCAAACGGCGUCACCGUGUUUUACAGCUACUCAACCCCGGUCGCGGCUUUCAUCCCCGGCAAGGGGCGCAUUGUGCAGUUCCAAGAAGUAUUCAUGCACAACGAGCAGGCACGUCAACCAGGCAGUUGCCCGCUGGGGUGCCACCAGAACCGACGUUGAUCAGGGCGUCAUUGACCAGUACGCAGCAUGAUCCUCCUCGCACCAUAAGCCCGCUGCUGUUCUGGCGACGGGCUGUUAAAUCCAAGCCUAGCCUGCCGGAUGAGGCCGGCCAGCUCCGUGCUCUGCUGGAGUUCCGAGAGGCCAGAAUCCGCGAAGCUUUGUGGUACCUCGAUAACCACGCCCCGGGCCGCGCGCUCGAAUGCCUGCGAAGGGAGCCGGAACAAUGAUUUGCAGGGGUGCCAGGGUUCUGCGCCAGCGGGUUCCUCAUAUUCCCGCGCGGCCUUUCUCUCCCUGGUGCCCCUGCCUUCCCGAUAAACCGAAAGGACUGAAAAUGAAUCCACCAAAUGAAAUCUUAGUUGCGCUCGAAACCCUGGCCGCCUCGUUCCCUUGGGACGAAGUGUCAAUUUGGGCCGGCCGGACACCAGAGGACCCGACCCCGAAGUAUUCGGCUUACAUCCCGUCAAAUGAACUUUACCCGUGCAUUUUCGGGAAGGCAAGACAGCAAUGGAGGCGGUUGAAAAGGCCGUCAAGCAAGGUGCAGGGAGAAUCAGCCCAGAAGAUGCUCGCUUGCUGGCGAUCAAGGAGCUCCAGGACAAGAUCGCAAAGCUGGAAGCGGUGCGGUUUGAGAUUCCCCCCUAUAUCGCGAAUAGGGAACUGUCCCAAUUCGUGACAAAGAUAACCACCGUGGACGUGUAAGUGAGGGUUCGGUUUUCCUGAGAAAUUUCUUGCUUAUGCCUCUCCGGUCAUGGUAUCCGUUAGCAAUGCACCGAAAUGCACCGAAAUGCGUCAGGAAAGGACAAUAGAAAGCCAUGAGACCAGCGAGAAAGAACAGAGUUGUGGAACCGGUCAACUGCCUCAACUGCGGCGAAAAAUUCACACCCAAACGGAAGUGGGCAAAAUUCUGUGAUGCAACAUGCCGCUGGGACUAUUGGGACCGGGCGCAUCCCCGGGCAGGUGUUGGCGAAAAAGGGCAGCUAUUAUGACUGAGAUGGCUGAGAGAAUCCCAAGCAAGUUGCCAAGUUUCACUUUCGGAAAUUCUGGAGUGUGUGCUUAUUGUGGCAAUGACGCUGAUGGCCACGAUCAUGUUGUUCCGAUUGCAUGGCAGGAAUCUUACCGUGAUCAGAAAAGUCACUUGAAGGACGGCGGGCCGAUUACGUUUGCCUGCAAUGAGUGCAAUUCCAGGCUUUCCAAUCAUCACUUUGACACAUUUUGGGAGCGUUGCGAGUACUGCAAGCAUCACCUCGAAAAGCAUUGUUCUCCUAUCCAUUGGACGAAUAGGCAGAUUCAGGAACUUGAUUACACGCUCCGCUCGCUAAUUGCUUCUGAGGCGCUCAAACGCAGAGUCUUGCGCCAGCGGGCUGAUUGGUUUGAAAGCCGGGACUUCCUGCUCAACAUCGAAAAUCUUGCCUCCAACGAUUACCUUCUGAGAGGGUCUCCGCGGUUUAAUGUCUGGGCCUAUUCUUACUUUUACGAGGCUCUUUACCGAAUCAAUUUCAUUUACAGUCAAGCAUGGCGCACCAAGCCAUGUUUUUAACCCACCCAAAAAGAAAGGCGCAAAUGAACACGAUUGAAGCAGAAUCCGAAGUCCAGGCUUUAGCCAUCCGGCCAGAUCAGCCGGUCGCCCCGGUUGCCCCGGAGGCCAAGGCACAGAUCACCCCGGCUCAGGCCAAGGUUGAUGCCAUUGCAAGCCUCACGAUGUCGGCUUAUUCGAGAGCGGGCACCUUGGAAUUGACCCCGGAAGAAAGCGCCGCCUUGGCUGCCGACUUCCCAGAUGAGGCUUUCAAGCCGGGGGCAGGAGGCAAAGAAAUGCUCUUGUAUAUCGAGCACGCUUUCCUCCGGGACCGUUUCGCCCAGGUCUUCGGCAUGGGAAAAUGGGCAAUCGUGCCGCGAAACCGAUGGGCGGAAUCGUUCAAAACCAAGCCGUCCAGAGACUUCCCGCAAGGCCAGGAUGGCGAGAGGGUCUAUGUCGAGGCCAUGCUAAUAGCCCGAGGCUGCUUUAUCGGUGAGGCGGUGGGCGCCAUGGAAUACUAUCCGCACAACGCGAGCCAGAACUACGGGGAUGCUGUAGAAGGCGCGAAAACUGCCGCCUUCCGCCGCUGCGCAAAGGAAUUUGGCGUGGGACUCCAGGCUUGGAAAAAGGAUUGGUGCGAUGGCUGGUGGCAGCGGAAGCGGGCAGGAUUCAAGACGCCCCGGGCGCAGCAAGCACCGCAGCAAAAGCCCGAGCCGCCAAAGCCCGAGCCGGCCAAGGCAUUUGUGC
Molecule: unclassified non-coding RNA, 2986 nt
Filed under: uncultured fungus
Lineage: Eukaryota; Fungi
Description: sequence contains 18S rRNA gene, ITS1, 5.8S rRNA gene, ITS2, 28S rRNA gene
Source: RNAcentral